UUAUUUAAUAUAUUUAACAUUAACAACCUGCUGUAGUUUGUAAACAUGACAGUAGCAGUUUUAGACGGGUAGCACAGACAGAUAGACCUAGCCAUCUAUUCGUGGAACGGUAGGAAAAUCUGACAAGGUAGCACUGAUUGUCAGAACACCAGGUUUACAUCUGCUGCUGCACAGAGCUGCUCAGGUGUGUUAGAAUCAUGGCAGCAAACCAGUAAACGCAAAGAACUUUGCAGUUUUUCCCCAAACUAACCGGCUAACGAGGUAGCAUCAACUGAUGGUCCAAUAGAUUUUGGCUCAUGUUUUUCUGGUCCGAUGUUUUUCAUUCGGAACCAGGCAGGACUUGAACUGGAAUCUGGAUUCUUGUUUCAGAAGAUUUUCAGUUCUUCAUAAGAAGAACUGUUCAGUUCAGUUCUUCAUAAUAAGAACUGUUCAGUUCAGUUCUUCAUAGUAAGAAGAACUGUUCAGUUCAGUACUUCAUAAUAAU
Long non-coding RNA from Xiphophorus hellerii (green swordtail), 484 nucleotides. RefSeq lists it as uncharacterized. Lineage: Eukaryota; Metazoa; Chordata; Actinopteri; Cyprinodontiformes; Poeciliidae. The record is from RefSeq and is a predicted model, not a curated record. The transcript has 2 exons.